RNAcentral lists this ribosomal RNA (468 nucleotides) under uncultured bacterium. RNAcentral describes it as "partial 16S ribosomal RNA". It matches the Rfam family "Bacterial small subunit ribosomal RNA", at positions 28 to 507 of the family's 1533-position model. The record is from RNAcentral.
GACGAACGCUGGCGGCGUGCUUAACACAUGCAAGUCGAACGGAAAGGCCCUGCUUUUGUGGGGUGCUCGAGUGGCGAACGGGUGAGUAACACGUGAGUAACCUGCCCUUGACUUUGGGAUAACUUCAGGAAACUGGGGCUAAUACCGGAUAGGAGCUCCUGCUGCAUGGUGGGGGUUGGAAAGUUUCGGCGGUUGGGGAUGGACUCGCGGCUUAUCAGCUUGUUGGUGGGGUAGUGGCUUACCAAGGCUUUGACGGGUAGCCGGCCUGAGAGGGUGACCGGCCACAGUGGGACUGAGAUACGGCCCAGACUCCUACGGGAGGCAGCAGUGGGGAAUAUUGCACAAUGGGCGGAAGCCUGAUGUAGCAACGCCGCGUGCGGGAUGACGGCCUUCGGGUUGUAAACCGCUUUCGCCUGUGACGAAGCGUGAGUGACGGUAAUGGGUAAAGAAGCACCGGCUAACUACGUG